UGUUUACCUCUCCACUCCAGGGAUUUGAAUCGGAAAUGGGAUUAAAUAAUUCUCCUUAGAGGGAAAUGCAUUGUAAGAAGAAUUAUUUCUCCCCAUUCCUGAUUCAGUUCCCUGCCUUAUUCCUACUGGUGGAGAGGUGGAAAAGGAGAAAGGAAAGUUGAAAGAGCACUUAUACCAUCUAAUGCUACUAUAGUCAGAGCUUGCUAUAUGUGGCUCUGCAAAGUGUGAGUGGCCAGUUAAAAAAA
Pelobates cultripes (western spadefoot toad) is the source of this 245-nucleotide non-coding RNA. The record is from the annotation of a GenBank genome assembly. NCBI's taxonomy places the organism in Eukaryota, Metazoa, Chordata, Amphibia, Anura, Pelobatidae.